GAUUAACGCUGGCGGCGUGCAUAACACAUGCAAGUCGAACGAUGAAACUUAAAUGAUUUCUUCGGAAUGAACUUAAGUGGAUUAGUGGCGGACGGGUGAGUAACGCGUGAGUAACCUGCCUUACACAAGGGGAUAGCCGUUGGAAACGACGAAUAAUACCCUAUGAAACUAUCACUUCGCAUGAAGCGAUAGUCAAAGUGUUAGCGGUGUAAGAUGGACUUGCGUCUGAUUAGCUAGUUGGUGAGAAAAAAGCCCACCAAGGCAACGAUCAGUAGCCGGCGUGAGGGAGUGUACGGCCACAUUGGGACUGAGACACGGCCCAGACUCCUACGGGAGGCAGCAGUGGGGAAUUUUGCACAAUGGGGGAAACCCUGAUGCAGCGACGCCGCGUGAUUUAGAAGGCCUUCGGGUUGUAAAAAUCUUUUGUAUAGGAAGAAAAUGACAGUACUAUACGAAUAAGGUCCGGCUAAUUACGUG
RNAcentral lists this ribosomal RNA (477 nucleotides) under uncultured bacterium. Its description in RNAcentral is "partial 16S ribosomal RNA". It matches the Rfam family "Bacterial small subunit ribosomal RNA", at positions 28 to 507 of the family's 1533-position model. The record is from RNAcentral.